UACGGGGGGGGUAAGCGUUGUUCGGAAUUACUGGGCGUAAAGGGCUCGUAGGCGGCCAACUAAGUCAGACGUGAAAUCCCUCAGCUUAACUGGGGAACUGCGUCUGAUACUGGAUGGCUUGGAUUCGGGAGAGGAAUGCGGAAUUCCAGGUGUAGCGGUGAAAUGCGUAGAUAUCAGGAAGAACACCCGUGGCGAAGGCGGCUCUCUGGGACGGUACUGACGCUGAGACGCGAAAGCGUGGGGAGCAAACAGG
RNAcentral lists this ribosomal RNA (253 nucleotides) under uncultured bacterium. RNAcentral describes it as "partial 16S ribosomal RNA". It matches the Rfam family "Bacterial small subunit ribosomal RNA", at positions 524 to 776 of the family's 1533-position model. The record is from RNAcentral.